Molecule: ribosomal RNA, 459 nt
Filed under: uncultured bacterium
Lineage: Bacteria
Description: bacterial SSU rRNA
Rfam family: Bacterial small subunit ribosomal RNA
Source: RNAcentral
UCCUACGGGGGGCAGCAGUAAGGAAUAUUGGUCAAUGGAGGCAACUCUGAACCAGCCAUGCCGCGUGCAGGAAGACUGCCCUAUGGGUUGUAAACUGCUUUUAUCCGGGAAUAAACCUCUUUACGUGUAAAGAGCUGAAUGUACCGGAAGAAUAAGGAUCGGCUAACUCCGUGCCAGCAGCCGCGGUAAUACGGAGGAUCCAAGCGUUAUCCGGAUUUAUUGGGUUUAAAGGGUGCGUAGGCGGCCUGUUAAGUCAGGGGUGAAAGACGGUAGCUCAACUAUCGCAGUGCCCUUGAUACUGAUGGGCUUGAAUGAACUAGAGGUAGGCGGAAUGAGACAAGUAGCGGUGAAAUGCAUAGAUAUGUCUCAGAACACCGAUUGCGAAGGCAGCUUACUAUGGUUUAAUUGACGCUGAGGCACGAAAGCGUGGGGAUCAAACAGGAUUAGAUACCCUGGUAG